Molecule: ribosomal RNA, 679 nt
Filed under: uncultured Staphylococcus sp.
Lineage: Bacteria; Bacillati; Bacillota; Bacilli; Caryophanales; Staphylococcaceae
Description: bacterial SSU rRNA
Rfam family: Bacterial small subunit ribosomal RNA
Source: RNAcentral
UAAGGAGCUUGCUCCUUUGACGUUAGCGGCGGACGGGUGAGUAACACGUGGAUAACCUACCUAUAAGACUGGGAUAACUUCGGGAAACCGGAGCUAAUACCGGAUAACAUAUUGAACCGCAUGGUUCAAUAGUGAAAGGCGGCUUUGCUGUCACUUAUAGAUGGAUCCGCGCCGUAUUAGCUAGUUGGUAAGGUAACGGCUUACCAAGGCAACGAUACGUAGCCGACCUGAGAGGGUGAUCGGCCACACUGGAACUGAGACACGGUCCAGACUCCUACGGGAGGCAGCAGUAGGGAAUCUUCCGCAAUGGGCGAAAGCCUGACGGAGCAACGCCGCGUGAGUGAUGAAGGUCUUCGGAUCGUAAAACUCUGUUAUCAGGGAAGAACAAAUGUGUAAGUAACUGUGCACAUCUUGACGGUACCUGAUCAGAAAGCCACGGCUAACUACGUGCCAGCAGCCGCGGUAAUACGUAGGUGGCAAGCGUUAUCCGGAAUUAUUGGGCGUAAAGCGCGCGUAGGCGGUUUUUUAAGUCUGAUGUGAAAGCCCACGGCUCAACCGUGGAGGGUCAUUGGAAACUGGAAAACUUGAGUGCAGAAGAGGAAAGUGGAAUUCCAUGUGUAGCGGUGAAAUGCGCAGAGAUAUGGAGGAACACCAGUGGCGAAGGCGACUUUCUGGUCUG